RNAcentral lists this ribosomal RNA (253 nucleotides) under uncultured bacterium. Its description in RNAcentral is "partial 16S ribosomal RNA". It matches the Rfam family "Bacterial small subunit ribosomal RNA", at positions 524 to 776 of the family's 1533-position model. The record is from RNAcentral.
UACGAAGGUCCCAAGCGUUAUCCGGAUUUAUUGGGUUUAAAGGGUGCGUAGGCGGGUUAUUAAGUCAGUGGUGAAAGCCUUCAGCUUAACUGAAGAAUUGCCAUUGAUACUGAUGAUCUUGAGUAUGAUUGAGGUGGGCGGAAUGUGUCAUGUAGCGGUGAAAUGCUUAGAUAUGACACAGAACACCGAUUGCGAAGGCAGCUCACUAAGCCAUAACUGACGCUGAUGCACGAAAGCGUGGGGAGCAAACAGG